AUGGAGGACUAUGAGGAGGAGCUGCACGGCGUGGAGGAUGACUUCCACAGCCAGUUCGCGGCAGAGCUCGAGGUGCUGGCCGAGCUAGAAGGGACGCCCUUCCUGUCGCCCUCCGAGGCCCCGCCGCCUGCUGCAGCCGGCCCCCGGCCAACGUUCGAGGAGGCCAUCGCUGGAGGGGAUGCCGCCAAUCGUCUCUGUCCCUCUGGUUCUUCAGGCAGCAGCAAUCGCGGUGCCAGAAAGCGGCAAGCGGAUUCCGGUGCCCCCAGCAAGGAGCCCCUGCCCUACAGUAUGUGCACAGGCAGGCCCUGUUUAAGGUGGGGGUGUGGUGGGAAGCUCUUGUUUCGAUCCCUCUGUUGUGUCUCUUCAGCCCCCAAGGUCAAGCGGUCCAAGCUGGAGGCGGUCAAGAGACUGAACUUUGGGCCAGAGAUGGAGGAGCUGCAGUAUCCUGAGUCCCCACCAAAGGACAUAACCCCCCCGCUGAGUCCUGAAGUCCCCACUGAGCUGUGGGGUUCUGGGUGCGUGGCUUAGGGCAGCCCUUUUCCUCCUGUCUGUCCAAAAGGGAUUUAGGAUUCUGUUUCUAGGAUGAGGCCCUGAGAGUGGGGGCCUGUGGGCGUGUCUGGUGGGCUGAGAGGGUGUCCAGGUACACCUUCACAGUGUGACAGGAGACACAAGUCCCUGAGUCUGAACCCUGUCCCUUCCCAGACCUCUGGAUGCUGCUGCAGAUGCAAGUCUUGCACAGGCCUUGCAUGGCACCCACAAUCCUGUCCUGAGGCGACCCCCUGUCUUGGAGGAUUACAUCAAUGUGACCUCCACAGGUGGUGACCGGGCCUUUCUGGUGCUCCGUCCUGACUCCACAGGCAAUGGAGUGCAGGUGGGUACUGCACAGCUACAAGUGUGGGGCUGGCUGUGGCCAUUGUAUAGGAUAGGCAGGUUGAUUCUGCCCAGGAAAGGGUCCGGACAUUAUGUCCACUGCAGGCCUCUUGACAGAUUUAUAGGCAGCUUUUGCCCGUUGGCUUGCUGGAAAUGCGGAUAUCCAUGUGGCCCAGGAACAGGAAAGCAAAGCUGCUGUGGGAGGGAC
Molecule: long non-coding RNA, 1078 nt
Filed under: Chinchilla lanigera (long-tailed chinchilla)
Lineage: Eukaryota; Metazoa; Chordata; Mammalia; Rodentia; Chinchillidae
Description: lncRNA (ENSCLAG00000029164.1)
Source: RNAcentral